AGAUCGGGUUUUCCCAGGGCAUGGAAAGGACAGGGCUCCCAGUGGAGAUAUCAUGUAGCUAUAGGGCCUAGAAGUAUUUUUUCAGUAGAUGAAAUUUAGAAAUAAUUUGAAUAUUUUAUGCUGGGGAGGUAGCUUGUGGAGUGAAAUGGUCGGGUAAAGGAAACACUGAGUUCAAGUGCUUCUUUAUAAAGGACACUUAACUGAUCUAAAUAUUUGUCAAGCUGAAUCGCUACAUCCACUCUCACCUGCCUGAAAUCAAUAUGCUCAAGUCAAACGCAUUUGCCUGCAUCUGAAUGUGGAGAAUGAACUUCUUAAAGCUGAACUGGCAGCUGGAAGGGGAGAGAGAAGAGCUGGACAGGGAGCCAGGACACCGGAGUUCUUUUCCACUGUGGUGGGAUCUGGAAGAAGCUGUUGAAUCUCUGUAGAGUUAGCUUUUAAAUGCUGUGAGUCUUUGGAAAGCUGUGCGAAUAACUGCUAAACACCCAGGACAGCUUAUGCAUUUUUUGAAAAAGGUUCCUGGUGCUGGUUCCAGCAGAAUAGACACAGAGAUGCAUGGCCUAACUCCCACUCCCUCUUCAGGACUGAGCCACGCAGCCCCCCAUCUGCCAGAAGUGUUAGCUGUUGACGGCUCACAGCUGAGUCCCUCUCCAGGCAUUGCUGAAAAGAGCCACCUUGCUCUAGGAUGUGCCCCCACCCUGGGGGCAGCAUACAUUCCAAGUGAUUAGUCCAUAGUGUGGUACAAAGGUUGUACCCAUCUUGCCUGAAUUCAGGAUCUCUUGGAAAACCACCCCAGCUCUGCAGCUCCUGGUGGG
RNAcentral lists this long non-coding RNA (812 nucleotides) under Homo sapiens (human). RNAcentral's name for it is "non-protein coding MYOSLID:12". Lineage: Eukaryota; Metazoa; Chordata; Mammalia; Primates; Hominidae. The record is from RNAcentral.